This 404-nucleotide ribosomal RNA is filed under the name uncultured bacterium. RNAcentral describes it as "bacterial SSU rRNA". It matches the Rfam family "Bacterial small subunit ribosomal RNA", at positions 355 to 776 of the family's 1533-position model. The record is from RNAcentral.
UGGGGAAUAUUGCACAAUGGGGGAAACCCUGAUGCAGCGACGCCGCGUGAGUGAAGACGGCCUUCGGGUUGUAAAGCUCUGUUGAGGGGGACGAUAAUGACGGUACCCCUUUAGAAAGCCACGGCUAACUACGUGCCAGCAGCCGCGGUAAUACGUAGGUGGCGAGCGUUGUCCGGAAUUACUGGGUGUAAAGGGAGCGUAGGCGGGGGUUUAAGUUGGAUGUGAAAUACCGCAGCUCAACUGCGGGGCUGCAUCCAAAACUGGACUUCUUGAGUGAAGUAGAGGCAAGCGGAAUUCCUAGUGUAGCGGUGAAAUGCGUAGAUAUUAGGAGGAACACCAGUGGCGAAGGCGGCUUGCUGGGCUUUUACUGACGCUGAGGCUCGAAAGCGUGGGGAGCAAACAGG